AUUGAACGCUGGCGGCAUGCCUUACACAUGCAAGUCGAACGGCAGCACGGGAGCAAUCCUGGUGGCGAGUGGCGAACGGGUGAGUAAUACAUCGGAACGUGCCCAGUAGUGGGGGAUAGCCCGGCGAAAGCCGGAUUAAUACCGCAUACGACCUGAGGGUGAAAGCGGGGGAUCGCAAGACCUCGCGCUAUUGGAGCGGCCGAUGUCAGAUUAGCUAGUUGGGGGGUAAAGGCCUACCAAGGCUACGAUCUGUAGUUGGUCUGAGAGGACGACCAGCCACACUGGGACUGAGACACGGCCCAGACUCCUACGGGAGGCAGCAGUGGGGAAUUUUGGACAAUGGGGGCAACCCUGAUCCAGCAAUGCCGCGUGCAGGAAGAAGGCCUGG
This 388-nucleotide ribosomal RNA is filed under the name uncultured bacterium. RNAcentral's name for it is "bacterial SSU rRNA". It matches the Rfam family "Bacterial small subunit ribosomal RNA", at positions 29 to 419 of the family's 1533-position model. The record is from RNAcentral.